Molecule: long non-coding RNA, 224 nt
Filed under: Pan paniscus (pygmy chimpanzee)
Lineage: Eukaryota; Metazoa; Chordata; Mammalia; Primates; Hominidae
Description: lncRNA (ENSPPAG00000044819.1)
Source: RNAcentral
GCUGAAGAAAAUCACAUCAUAUUCCAUUUCCAUGUGUUCCAGGCCAGUGAUUCUAUGAGCUCUCACCCUGUAAAUACAGAUGCAGAGGUGGACUGAUGGCCACAAGGCUAAAACCAGCAGCUGUCCAGGUUCUUGGCCUUUCAUUACAGUUAACAAUUAAGUGAAGACAAUCAUGCAAAAAGAAAAAAAAUUCCCUGCAAAGCAAUGUGACACACAGACUGAAU